CUAUCAGCUGGUUAUUGGCUCUCAGAGUGUUGGUAUAAAUUAGCAGAGCUGUCAGCAGCGUCUCCAGACAGAUUAUCACCGGUGGAAGGUGCCGUCGCCGUCCCUGCAGGAGGAGGUCUGAACCGGGCCGAAGAUGUCCAGCGAGAAGAGUCCAGAGGUGUCGGGAUGCGACGCCUCCAUCAUGAAGAACGUCUGGGAGAUCCGAGUGAGGGAGCAAGGCCAGAGGAUGCGUCUGGAGCAGGAACGUCUGGAGAAGAGCGCCCUGCCCACCAUCAACAAGGACUGGGCGGAUCGAAUGACUGCCAAGAUGGGAAAAUAUAAAAGAGUGGAGAGGAAAGCUAAGCCGUCCGAUGGCCA
This is a long non-coding RNA of Fundulus heteroclitus (mummichog), 357 nucleotides long. RefSeq lists it as uncharacterized. NCBI's taxonomy places the organism in Eukaryota, Metazoa, Chordata, Actinopteri, Cyprinodontiformes, Fundulidae. The record is from RefSeq and is a predicted model, not a curated record. The transcript is spliced from 3 exons.